UUGCCUUAUAGGUCUGGGAAAUAAACAAGUAAGAAAUGAGAAAUCGACCACACAGCAGAACAAAACCAAUAGAAAGAGGUACAACUAAUCCAAUACGCUCGGGAUUGAGAAAAUGAGACUAUCAAAGAGCCCUAGAUUGCUAUGACCGGAUUCUGAGAAGGAAAGCAAAAGCGUAAGCUAUGAGCCAUGGAACCUGUUCAGUUUUUUCUCUUGAUUAGCUGCCAUGAAUAAAUCUCAAUCUCGUAAAGAUUUGUCCGUUUGGUACAACGGAGACCUCCAUUUACCCAUCUGAAUGGUUCUCUGCGAAGAAAUAGAUGAUUGAGCAUUUUCUUUUUCUUUGCUUAAGCCACUAAAUGGACUAUGAAGCACGGUAAUUUUACUAAUAAAAUGUAACCGGAGGUUGUCCUUCGUGAUAAUAAACGCAGUCCAUUUCAUGCAUAGUCCUAUCAACACAGUAUGACACACAACUCCGGUAGCCUUCCCCCAUAAGAGGAAGAUCAAAAUAAAAGCAGUACUGAUUAUCUGCAGAUGUUCAUGGAUUGUCAUUGCUCUCACAAACAAAUGAAAUUUUACAUGCAAUCUCAUUAAAGCAACAAAAAUAAUCUACUUGGAUAAAGAUUUUUCUUUGGAAUGCUGCAAGUAUUUUGCUAGAUUCUCUCUCAAGGUUCUUCCCAGCGGAUCAACUUGCUUAGAGAAUUCUUCUCCAUAACCAGAGUCAUGAUGACCAGACAAAGCAACAUCAGGAUGCAGCUGAUCUCCAUUGUCAAUUAUAAUAUUGUGAAGUAAACAACAUACCAGGAUGAUACUUGGUAGUUUCCUUUUAUCUGGUCUCCACAUUACCUUGUUAAGGAUUCUCCAACUGCCCUUUAGCUGCAAGAAUGACUUCACUGCAAGCGACCUUGCUGCCUCAUGAAUUGUAUUGAAAGUGGACACUGAAUCUGAUUGUUCAUCACUUCCAUCAGGAGUUAUGAGCCAUGGAAGUAGAGGAUAACUAACUCCACCAACAAUAUAUUCUCUGAUCUCAACUCCUUCAGCUAAUUUUCUUAGACUUCCAUUCAAACGUUCUCCAUUCUCACAGAGUUUAAAAAUUCCAGAACACUUCAAUAAUCUAGACACCGUCAUGCCCCCAGGCCAACCUGUAACGAUAUUAAGAAAUCUCAUCUCAUGGUCAACAAUUCCCUGCAAGAACAUGCUGUAAUUGUUCUCUUGGUCACACCAAUCAUCGGAGGUUUCCACUGCUGGAAGGGUCAUAAUAAUGUGCGUUGCAUCAAUAGCUCCACAGCAAUUUUGCAACCCAAACAAUUCUUCAAAUUUGGACUUAAUGUCCUCCAUUCUACUGGAAUCAGGCCACUUAAGAUGGUGCUUGGCCCGUUCUUCCAAUGCUUCAAUAAAUCUCCAAGUCACUUGAGACACAGUAGACUGACCAACACCAAAGGCGGCCCCAACUGAGACUUGAGACUCACCUGAUGCCAACCUUCUUAAAGCAAUAGCCACCUGUUUCUCCACGCUAAGAAGUCUUCCCUCAAUGUUGAUAAGCCCAGAUGGUGGCCUUGAUAUAAGAUCUUCCCUUACUAGGAAACAAAUGUAUUCAAAAGUCUUCUUUGAGACCCUGAAGAAAUAUUUGAAUGCUUCUUCCUCAUUGGAUGGUAUUAAAGCAUCUACAAGGUUAAAUUCAAAUGUAUAAAUACAUGUAAAACCAACAACAAAAAAAAUCUAAUUCCAAAAUUUUCCAAAUUUAAUAUCUUCAACACUCUGCAACAAGACUUUGGAAAGUUUCAAUUAUUCUUCAUUCCACACAUAAAAGGCCUAAAGUUGCCAGAUAAUAAGCAGAUUAUUUCUAACUCAAAUAAACCCACUUAAAUUCUCAAUCCUUCAGCUAAUCAAUGAAUCAUAAUCUCACGAAAAUUAACAGCAUAAAUGAAAACCAUCACCAAUGUGUACAGCGCAAAUCAAAUUCCACGGCUAUAUGGGCAUUUGCAGUCUCAGUGAACCCACUAACAGUAAAAUGCCGAAGUCAAAAUUCAUGGACCAUUGGGAACAAAUGAGAAAAUUAGAACAAGAAGAAAAAUAGUGCUUAAAUUUUACGAAAGUCAAAAGAGAGAAGGCUAGAGAGAGAAAGAGAGAGAAAGAGGGAGACUCACGACGGAUGGGAGGCAUUCGAGGA
This 2164-nucleotide unclassified non-coding RNA is filed under the name Hevea brasiliensis (rubber tree). The record is from RNAcentral. Lineage: Eukaryota; Viridiplantae; Streptophyta; Magnoliopsida; Malpighiales; Euphorbiaceae.